This 166-nucleotide unclassified non-coding RNA is filed under the name uncultured Humicola. Its description in RNAcentral is "sequence contains ITS1". The record is from RNAcentral. Lineage: Eukaryota; Fungi; Ascomycota.
CAGAGUUGCAAAACUCCCAAACCAUUGUGAACGUUACCAAAACCGUUGCUUCGGCGGGCGGCCCGGGUCACUCCCGGCGCCCCCCGGCCCUCGCGGGCGCCCGCCGGAGGUAAACCAAACUACUGAAUUGUAUGGCCUCUCUGAGUCUUCUGUACUGAAUAAGUCA